RNAcentral lists this ribosomal RNA (1353 nucleotides) under Triticum aestivum (bread wheat). RNAcentral's name for it is "partial small subunit ribosomal RNA". The record is from RNAcentral. Lineage: Eukaryota; Viridiplantae; Streptophyta; Magnoliopsida; Poales; Poaceae.
AUGGCACAGAUGGUUGAAUUGACGAGCCGUUGCCUUGCUUUGGCGGAAGGAGUGGUAACUAUGGUGUGCCCGGUGCUCCUGGCGCUGGCUAUCAAGAAGAUCAACUGGAAAGGCAAGGUGGAAGAGCCAGUUGUUCCAAUGGCUACGCUCCUCAUUGCCAGUGUGACUCUCAUCACCGGGAUCUUCCCGUUGCUUGCAUGUUGUGUCUCAAAGUUUUUCCCGAAUAUGUCUAAAAGACGCACCCGUGUGACCAGCAGUGUGGCUGCAUACUUGUCCUCUAUUUGCCUCAUCCUACUCGCCUGCUUUAUCUCGGGAAGAAUCUUACCUCUGAAAUAUGUGGUCGCCAUCGGCGGGGCCGUCAUUCUAGUUGCCAUCGGGGUUCUCUUAAUCCUGCGCUCCUGUGCCAAUGCAUCGCAGCCGAACACGAUUACUCCAAGUCCCACGGGGGAAGCAGAGGAAAUAAACAAGGAGCUGGGCACCAAGGAAGCAGAGAGAAUAAACAAGGAAGCAGAGAGAAUAAAAAAGGAGGCAGAUGAGAGAAGAAAGGAGAUCCACGAUAUACUGGACAAGACACACGAGUUCAUGUCCGGUGUCACCGGAAUUCUGUUCCUGGGCUUGGAAGGUUUGGCACUGGAAGGUCUCAUCAGCACAUGCCAUGGGAUACCCGAUGCUGUCCGGAGACCAGUCAUGUUCAGCUUCAUCUUCUGCGCCAUCGGUGUGUCCCUAAUGUUCCUCACCAUGAUCUAUCCUCUUACGGUCACAACAGAAAAGGCAAGCAUUGUACGUAUGACCUUCGGCUUUGACCUUCUCAUGACUGGUGGUACCGUUGCAAUACUGACCAUCAUUAUGGAGAAACUCAUGGGACAUAAAGGGCUUCUGCUCUUAAGCUCCCCAGCCCUAAUCUUAUUUCACGUGGUGUACCGACUCGUGAUCAAACCGAGAGUCGCACUGGGUAAACAACAAUCACAAACGACUCUCCCAAUCUCCGACGGAUCCACGCCUUCUUCUCUGGGAUCCCCCCUCCCCCCCACCGGCGACAAGCAACAAGAGGCUAAAGCGGCGCCGCUUGGACUGACCAAGGUUACGUUUGCCGGGUUCUGGGCCAUGUCGGUGACAACCAUCAGCACUGGUUCCCACAACCACUGGUUCCUGAUAUUUGCAGCGACAGCUAUUGCUUCUGGUCUCUUUUGGAGGCUCCUCACGCACAGCAAAAAUAAGGACACGGUGGAAACUGCCAAUGUUGCUUCCUUCUUCACUCAUUUAUGCAUUGCAGUUGCUACGGUCCUAUUCACGGUAAUGGCAUGGGAGGCCGCCAAUAAAUUGCAAGUGAACACGUGUGCAAGCCGGCAGUGA